AUUGAACGCUGGCGGCAGGCCUAACACAUGCAAGUCGAGCGGAUGAAGGGAGCUUGCUCCUGGAUUCAGCGGCGGACGGGUGAGUAAUGCCUAGGAAUCUGCCUGGUAGUGGGGGAUAACGUCCGGAAACGGGCGCUAAUACCGCAUACGUCCUGAGGGAGAAAGUGGGGGAUCUUCGGACCUCACGCUAUCAGAUGAGCCUAGGUCGGAUUAGCUAGUUGGUGGGGUAAAGGCCUACCAAGGCGACGAUCCGUAACUGGUCUGAGAGGAUGAUCAGUCACACUGGAACUGAGACACGGUCCAGACUCCUACGGGAGGCAGCAGUGGGGAAUAUUGGACAAUGGGCGAAAGCCUGAUCCAGCCAUGCCGCGUGUGUGCAGAAGGUCUUCGGAUUGUAAAGCACUUUAAGUUGGGAGGAAGGGCAGUAAGUUAAUACCUUGCUGCUUUGACGUUACCAACAGAAUAAGCACCGGCUAACUUCGUG
RNAcentral lists this ribosomal RNA (484 nucleotides) under uncultured bacterium. RNAcentral describes it as "partial 16S ribosomal RNA". It matches the Rfam family "Bacterial small subunit ribosomal RNA", at positions 30 to 507 of the family's 1533-position model. The record is from RNAcentral.